GCACUAUAGUAUUGCCAGCCUAAUCUCGGGAGUUGAUAAACCUGAAGUCAUAAACAGCGCUGUGCUUCAAGCAUUGCGAAGAGCUGCUGGCAAACGCAGAACAGUGACAUAGAGCCUGAGGAUUCCCCAAUCCCUAAAAUGUCUCCCAAGAGGAAGAUAAAUCUCAUGCAUUAUUCAUAACAAUUCCGUGGCCAAGCCCACAGUCAUUUCAGUUUACACCACAUCAACACCAAGAGUGGAUUGCUUCACAGCGUGCAGGAACCUGUUUGGUCACUGGGUCCCGGAAGCGUAUUGUGGUGUCUAUUGCUGAUUAGCGAACCAAUAAAGACACUUAAA
Long non-coding RNA from Oncorhynchus kisutch (coho salmon), 336 nucleotides. RefSeq lists it as uncharacterized. Lineage: Eukaryota; Metazoa; Chordata; Actinopteri; Salmoniformes; Salmonidae. The transcript has 3 exons. The record is from RefSeq and is a predicted model, not a curated record.